Equus asinus (donkey) is the source of this 2061-nucleotide long non-coding RNA. The record is from Ensembl. NCBI's taxonomy places the organism in Eukaryota, Metazoa, Chordata, Mammalia, Perissodactyla, Equidae.
CUUACUCUAUGUGUCACAUGGUGAAAUGGCAUACCCUUGACAGAUGUCAGUGUAGGGUCUUCUUAACUACUUAUCCUCUCUGAAUGGCAUGCAAACAAUGAGUUUCAAUCUAGCUGAUUGUUAUGCCUGAAUUGAGCAGAGAAAACUCCAGGCCCAUGUCAUAGCUAAACGAUGUAAAUAUGGUCUGAACUGAAGAGAUAUGCUCACAUCCGCCAUCUCUUGGCAAAAUGGAAUAUCUGAAUUUUGAGUAUACUGAAUUCAAUUCAGCAGAUGUAUCUCCCUGCUUUGCCAUGCAGCCUGCUGUCCUAGACACUUCAAGGGCUUAGAAAAUGAGUCCACAUUCUCUGUCUGUAAACAGACGUUUGUGACAUCACAGAUGUUACAUGCUCACAGCAGCUUGCCCGUUUUCUGGCUUGAACUUUUUUCACGUCAAAAAGACCAAUGCCUGGCCUUUUCUAGACAGAUAAACAACUCUGUACCUGGAACAAAAAGACAAACCUACCAGCUCCGUAGUUGCCUAACACUCCUCAGUGAGGAACCAAGUGGGCCCUGCCUGGAUGCUAAUGGCAAGUUUGGCUCUUGGGAGCUGAAACUAAAAGGGACAAUGUAUUGUGCUCAGAGGUACUAUACACAGGAGGAGCCUGAAGCUGACUAUGAGCCAAGUCUGUAGAGAGUACCCAAAGUCAAAGAUUCCUUUAAGUCUCCCAGUCUUCAAAACCAAAGGUGAAGCGUGGAACUGGAUCCGGAUGACAAAGCAGAAAGGCUAAAAGUGAAGCUGGCAGAAGCUUAUUGACUUGUCCAAGUCAUAAGCUACUGGUAUCCAUUGCUGAAGAAAAAUUAUUCUGACUCUUGUUUAAAAUGGCAAGGAAGAGUUUAUGCAGGACUCUUGCAAGAGGGAGAAAGAUUGAGCUCAACGCUGAAUACAGCAAAGACAGAAAUUUACAGCCAGAGUGAGAGGAUCAGUAGAUGGAAAAUUCCUAAGAGGAGGUAUCAAGGGUAGGGGAAUUCUUGCUAAACUGGCUUAGCAGGAAUUUUGCUAAAGAAAGGUCAAGGUGGAGGCCUACUCAAGAAGAAGUUCGGAAAAGCCUGACUAAAGUUUGGUCGAAGGAGUCUUCAUCAUUGAGGGCUCUGUUUUCUAUUUUGUUUUGCUUUUUUCUUCCAACCAGUAUCUUCUUCCCCUAAGAGUUUGUACUGGUUAAUUGACAAAACCAGUCUUUGGUAGGGAGAGAAAAAAUAGUAAGAUAUGGCAGAGUUUAAAAUAGUUUCAUGGACUUAAGAAGAUUUUCUAACAAUUAAAACUGACAAGAAAAAUGUUUUCUGACUUCUAAAAUAUUUAUAAGAAAACAAAAGCAUCCUUCCCAUGAAAUGGUUAAAAAGACGUUUUUGAAAUGAUUGUCCUUACAAAUCUGUCAGAAAAUUAUACAAGUUUUGACCUCCGUCCAUCCACUUCCUACUCAAACAAAAAACAUGAAAUGAUGCCUCUGCUAAAAAUGGUCAAGCUUUGCUUUCAUCUCUCCUCUCUCAAAUUUAAAAACAAAUUCCAAGAGGCUGAAGAAAACAUAUUAUUUUGAAAGUGUAGUUCAUUUCUCAAAGAUGUUAUUAUUUCCCUCAACAUACAGUAUGAGGUUUCGUGGGGUAGUCCAUGUAAUUUUUACAGCUAAGCAUAUGGUCUGAGGACAAAACAGUCAUGGUCCAUAGAAAGCCUGGAGACUUAACUCACAGCAUCCACUGCUUCACUGAAGAGCGCUGACAUUGAUUUCCUUAUAUAUCUGGGAAAGUUUAUGAAAGAGUCUCUAUGAUUUAAGUAUCUUGGGGCUCUAUUCUUCACAGGAACCACGUGAAAAGAAGUAACCGCUCCCUGGCGCAGACACACCUGGUGGGAUGAGAUGGGACGGUGCCUUCCUUAUCUACUCACUUGGUAGAGCUAGUUCACCCUCUGCCCCUGGAUGGAAACAGAAAUGUUUGGUCAUUACAGUUACUGUUAGUCAUUAAAUAGUCUCACUUCAGUUAAAAUGGUCAGUUUCGGAUAGUAACCAAAAUUCAAACCAUGAUUAAAAGUUG